UACGGAGGGUGCAAGCGUUAUCCGGAUUCACUGGGUUUAAAGGGUGCGUAGGCGGGUAUGUAAGUCAGUGGUGAAAUCUUGGAGCUUAACUCCGAAACUGCCAUUGAUACUAUAUAUCUUGAAUGUCGUUGAGGUUUGCGGAAUAUGUCAUGUAGCGGUGAAAUGCUUAGAUAUGACAUAGAACACCAAUUGCGAAGGCAGCAGGCUAAACGAAUAUUGACGCUGAGGCACGAAAGCGUGGGGAUCAAACAGG
This 253-nucleotide ribosomal RNA is filed under the name uncultured bacterium. Its description in RNAcentral is "partial 16S ribosomal RNA". It matches the Rfam family "Bacterial small subunit ribosomal RNA", at positions 524 to 776 of the family's 1533-position model. The record is from RNAcentral.